UACGGAGGAUUCGAGCGUUAUCCGGAUUUACUGGGUGUAAAGGGAGCGUAGGCGGUUUAGCAAGUCAGAAGUGAAAGCCCGGGGCUCAACUCCGGGACUGCUUUUGAAACUGUUGAACUAGAUUGCAGGAGAGGUAAGUGGAAUUCCUAGUGUAGCGGUGAAAUGCGUAGAUAUAAGGAAGAACACCAGUGGCGAAGGCGGAUUACUGGACGAUAACUGACGGUGAGGCGCGAAAGCGUGGGGAGCAAACAGG
Molecule: ribosomal RNA, 253 nt
Filed under: uncultured Coprococcus sp.
Lineage: Bacteria; Bacillati; Bacillota; Clostridia; Lachnospirales; Lachnospiraceae
Description: partial 16S ribosomal RNA
Rfam family: Bacterial small subunit ribosomal RNA
Source: RNAcentral